This 1194-nucleotide long non-coding RNA is filed under the name Anas platyrhynchos platyrhynchos (common mallard). RNAcentral describes it as "lncRNA (ENSAPLG00000016802.1)". The record is from RNAcentral. Lineage: Eukaryota; Metazoa; Chordata; Aves; Anseriformes; Anatidae.
UUGGCGCUCGGUGCGCUUUGGCACGGGGUGGGGGUGCCCGGGGAGGACCCCAAAUUCUCUGCCCCUCGCGUGUCUGCCCGCAGGUGAAGGAGCUGGAGGAGCAGCUGCGUGCCAGGCCGCGGCAGGAGGAGCUGGAGCUGGCCAGGGCUGCGCUGGCUGCGGCCGAGGAGGGGAGGCAGGAGCUGAGGGCGCAGCUGCAGGAGGCGCGCGGGCGGCUGGAGGAGCUGGAGGCGGCCGCGAGUUUGGAGCAGGAGGGGGACCUGGCACGGAGCGAGCCCCCGCCACCGCCGCCACCGCCACCGCUGCCACCGCCUGCGCCCAGCGUCCCCGUGGACCCCCUCUUGGCGCUCAGGCAGAGGAAGGGGCAGGCCAACCCGCAGCACCGGAAACCGGGACCUGGCGAUGCCAAAGCCCGAGCCGUGCAGGAGAUGAUGGAGAGGAUAAAGAACGGGGUGGUGCUGAGACCCGCCAAGGAGCGGGUGGCCCUGAGCCAGUCAGCCAGCAAGCGGAGGAGCGCGGCGCUGGAGCUGCGGGGCAUCCUGGGCGCCAUGCGCAGGGCGAGCAGGAGGACGAGCGGGCGCAGGAGCAGCGUGCGGGGCCAGGACAGGCAGCUGGAGGCCAUCCUGCAGCGACGCCGCCGGGCCAUCGAUGUCCCCGAGUCCCCCCCAGGGCCGGACACCACCGACCCCGACCCCAACCCCGACCCCGACCCCGGGGCUGGGGGCAGGACGGAGCCGGGUCACGAGGAUGCUGGCAGAGCCGCUUCCCCCAGCCCCUGGCACGGGGACGGGGCUGGGGACCCCCUCCAGUUCCGCCCGCGGGCGGUGGGAGGCAUCUCCCGGAGCAGACCCUGCGCCUGGCAGGCUGGAGGGGGGGAGAAGGAGGGGAGGGGGCAGCCCCAAACCCACCCCAAACCUGCCCGGAGCGGGGCGGACGGAGGGGAGCAGGGCUGUCCGUCUGUCCAGCCCUCCGUCCGUCCUGCUUAGGCCACCAGCCGUGUCCCCAGGGCCACCAGGACGCAGCUGCUGGCUUGGGCACGGCAACGCAGAAGAAAUCUGCCCAAAAUUGGGGGAAGAACACUGGGUGGGGGGCGAUGCUGGGGGCAGCGGGGGGGCUCGCCCUUGGCCACGGCGCGGUGGUGGCAGCUCGGGAACCCCCCAAAAUGCCCCAAAGCAUCCAGGGGCAGGGUCUGGG